GAUACCCCGGGAAACUGGGGAUAAUACCCUAUAGGUUACAGACGCUGGAAUGCCCUGUAACCGAAAGUUCCGGCGCCUCAGGAUGGAUCUGCGGCCGAUUAGGUUGUUGUCGGGGUAACGGCCCAACAAGCCAGUAAUCGGUACGGGUUGUGGGAGCAAGAGCCCGGAGUUGGAUUCUGAGACACGAAUCCAGGCCCUACGGGGCGCAGCAGGCGCGGAAAACUUUACAAUGCGGGCAACCGUGAUAAGGGAACCUCGAGUGCCUGUAUAUGCAGGCUGUCUGAGUGUCUAAAACACACUCAAAGAAAGGGCCGGGCAAGACCGGUGCCAGCCGCCGCGGUAAUACCGGCGGCUCGAGUGGUGGCCACUUUUAUUGGGCUUAAAGCGUUCGUAGCUGGGUUGUUAAGUCCCUUGGGAAAUCCGGCGGCUCAACCGUCGGGCGUCUAAGGGAUACUGGUAAUCUUGGAACCGGGAGAGGUGAGGGGUACUUCGGGGGUAGGAGUGAAAUCCUGUAAUCCUCGAGGGACCACCUGUGGCGAAGGCGCCUCACCAGAACGGCUUCGACAGUGAGGGACGAAAGCUGGGGGAGCAAACCGGAUUAGAUACCCGGGUAGUCCCAGCCGUAAACGAUGUGCGUUAGGUGUAUCGAUGACCACGAGUCAUCGAGGUGCCGAAGGGAAACCGUGAAACGUACCGCCUGGGAAGUGCG
This 709-nucleotide ribosomal RNA is filed under the name anaerobic methanogenic archaeon E15-10. Its description in RNAcentral is "bacterial SSU rRNA". It matches the Rfam family "Archaeal small subunit ribosomal RNA", at positions 125 to 839 of the family's 1478-position model. The record is from RNAcentral.